GAUGCUGUUGCCCUGGUGAUUGCUCAUUCGAGUCUCGAUUGCACCAGAGAGAGGAGCUAUGUCAUUGCAACCCACUAAAUAGAGAACCUGGCUAUACUUCAGACAAACCUCUGUUCUGUUAAGAAGUGUUUUAGAGUCCAGGAAUGCACUUACCUGGAAGAAAAAGGACCUCUUCAGUUGGAUCUUCUCCUGCAGCAGGAGAGUGCAGUUGGUGGCACAACUUGUUGGCCAGUCCGGUGCACGUCACAUAUGCUGAUGGUCCUGAAGAAGAGACAAGAUAGUGAGGGUAAAACUUCAGUACCAAUCCUGGGUUAUGUCUGCUGUUGAUGGGGCCCACAGAAAUU
Dromaius novaehollandiae (emu) is the source of this 344-nucleotide long non-coding RNA. RefSeq lists it as uncharacterized. The transcript has 3 exons. Lineage: Eukaryota; Metazoa; Chordata; Aves; Casuariiformes; Dromaiidae. The record is from RefSeq and is a predicted model, not a curated record.